Molecule: ribosomal RNA, 400 nt
Filed under: Toxomerus marginatus
Lineage: Eukaryota; Metazoa; Arthropoda; Insecta; Diptera; Syrphidae
Description: partial 12S ribosomal RNA
Source: RNAcentral
AGAGCGACGGGCGAUGUGUACAUAUUUUAGAGCUAAAAUCAAAUUAUUUAUCUUUAUAAUUUUACUAUCAAAUCCAAUUUCAUUAAAUUUUUCAUAUUUAAAUCCAUAAAUAAAUUUUAUUGUAACUAAUUUAUACUUAAAAAUAAACUACACCUUGAUUUGAUAUUAAUUUUAAUUAAAAUUAUAGAAAAUUAUUAUUCUUAUAAAAUAUUCUAAUAACAACGAUAUAUAAAUUGAUUAACAAUUUUAAGUAAGGUACAUCGUGGAUUAUCGAUUACAAAACAAGUUCCUCUGAAUAGACUAAAAUACCGCCAAAUUUUUUAAGUUUCAAGAAUAUAACUAAUACUACUCAAAUAAAUUUAUUUACUUUUAAAAUAAUAGGGUAUCUAAUCCUAGUUUA